AUAGAAUCUCAACCCUGGUCCUAGGGGCUGCCCCAGGAGUCUAGAUCCAACCGCUUCACUUCCUCAGGAGGCUAGACCUGCCACUGGGGGGCUGUGGGGUGAACAUGGGGUUCAGGCUGGGUACCCCAUCCAGUGAGACCACGAAUCUGAGCAUGGCAACUGCCCCCUCAGCUCCUGCGAGGUGGAGACAUCACGCACUGGCUGGGUAUAAGCUCAGCGAUCUGGCGAGGGUGGAGGGAGGGAGGAAGAAGGGCCCACCCCCUGCUGGCUCCCCCUCCCCCUGGGACUCCCCCUCCCUUUCCAGGCGGGGAUAUAAGCCCCACAAGGAAAGCGCUGAGCAGAGGAGGUCUCAGCUUGACCUGCGGCAGUGCAGCCCUUGGGACUUCCCUCGCCUUCCACCUUCUGCUCGUCUGCUUCACAAGCUAUCGCUAUGGUGUUCGUGCGCAGGCCGUGGCCCGCCUUGACCACAGUGCUUCUGGCCCUGCUCGUCUGCCUGGGGGCGCUGGUCGACGCCUAUCCCAUCAAACCCGAGGCUCCCGGCGAAGACGCCUCCCCGGAGGAGCUGAACCGCUACUACGCCUCCCUGCGCCACUACCUCAACCU
RNAcentral lists this long non-coding RNA (603 nucleotides) under Pan troglodytes (chimpanzee). RNAcentral's name for it is "long non-coding RNA NONPTRT006710". Lineage: Eukaryota; Metazoa; Chordata; Mammalia; Primates; Hominidae. The record is from RNAcentral.